RNAcentral lists this ribosomal RNA (253 nucleotides) under uncultured prokaryote. Its description in RNAcentral is "partial 16S ribosomal RNA". It matches the Rfam family "Bacterial small subunit ribosomal RNA", at positions 524 to 776 of the family's 1533-position model. The record is from RNAcentral.
UACGAGUGCCCCGAGCGUUAUCCGGAAUCAUUGGGCGUAAAGGGUGUGUAGGUGGUUGUGUUAGUCUUCUGUUAAAUUCUUCGGCUUAACCGGGGGCAUGCAGGGGAAACGGCACAACUAGAGGAUGCGAGAGGUGAAUGGAACUCAUGGUGUAGGGGUGAAAUCCGUUGAUAUCAUGGGGAACACCAAAAGCGAAGGCAGUUCACUGGCGCACUCCUGACACUGAAACACUAAAGCGUGGGUAGCGAAUGGG